UUGAUCCUGGCUCAGGAUGAACGCUGGCGGGGCGCCUAAUGCAUGCAAGUCGAGCGACGCACACUCAGUCCGUAAGGACAGGGUAUGACGGAGCGGCGAACGGGGGAGUAACACGUGAGCAACCUGCCCCACAGAUCGGGAUAGCCCAGGGAAACCUGGAUUAAUACCGAAUAUUUUCCUUGGACCACAUGGUCCGUUGAGGAAAUGCCUUUUUGCUGUGGGAUGGGCUCGCGACUUAUCAGUUAGUUGGGGGGGUAACGGCCUACCAAGACAAUGACGAGUAGCUGGUCUGAGAGGACGAUCAGCCACACUGGAACUGAGACACGGUCCAGACUCCUACGGGAGGCAGCAGCAGGGAAUCUUGCGCAAUGGACGAAAGUCUGACGCAGCGACACCGCGUGGGGGAUGAAGGCCUUCGGGUUUUAAACCCCUUUUAGGAGGGAAGAAAUUGACGGUACCUCCAGAAAAAGGACCGGCCAACUACGUGCCAGCAGCCGCGGUAAUACGUAGGGUCCGAGCGUUAUCCGGAAUCAUUGGGCGUAAAGAGCUCGUAGGCGGUUCAGCAAGUCGGCUGUGAAAGUUCGAGGCUCAACCUCGAAAUUGCAGUCGAUACUGCUGUGACUUGAAUUCGGUAGAGGAGAAUGGAAUUCCCGGGGUAGCGGGGAAAUGCGCAGAUAUCGGGAGGAACACCAGUGGCGAAGGCGGUUUUCUGGGCCGAUAUUGACGCUGAGGAGCGAAAGCGUGGGGAGCAAACAGGGUUAGAUACCCUGGUAGUCCACGCCGUAAACGUUGGAUGCUAGGGGUGGCGGUCUACCAACGACUGCCGUGCCGAAGC
Molecule: ribosomal RNA, 835 nt
Filed under: uncultured Actinomycetes bacterium
Lineage: Bacteria; Bacillati; Actinomycetota; Actinomycetes
Description: bacterial SSU rRNA
Rfam family: Bacterial small subunit ribosomal RNA
Source: RNAcentral